This 23-nucleotide microRNA is filed under the name Caenorhabditis elegans. RNAcentral describes it as "cel-miR-55-3p". Its record names the gene cel-miR-55-3p. Lineage: Eukaryota; Metazoa; Nematoda; Chromadorea; Rhabditida; Rhabditidae. The record is from miRBase by way of RNAcentral.
UACCCGUAUAAGUUUCUGCUGAG